UACGUAGGGGGCUAGCGUUGUCCGGAUUUAUUGGGCGUAAAGAGCGUGUAGGCGGCCAGGUAGGUCUGCUGUGAAAACUCGAGGCUCAACCUCGAGACGUCGGCGGAAACCAUCUGGCUAGAGUCCGGAAGAGGAGAGUGGAAUUCCUGGUGUAGCGGUGAAAUGCGCAGAUAUCGGGAAGAACACCCGUGGCGAAGGCGGUUCUCUGGGACGGUACUGACGCUGAGACGCGAAAGCGUGGGGAGCGAACAGG
RNAcentral lists this ribosomal RNA (253 nucleotides) under uncultured bacterium. RNAcentral's name for it is "partial 16S ribosomal RNA". It matches the Rfam family "Bacterial small subunit ribosomal RNA", at positions 524 to 776 of the family's 1533-position model. The record is from RNAcentral.